RNAcentral lists this ribosomal RNA (589 nucleotides) under uncultured bacterium. RNAcentral describes it as "bacterial SSU rRNA". It matches the Rfam family "Bacterial small subunit ribosomal RNA", at positions 337 to 917 of the family's 1533-position model. The record is from RNAcentral.
UCCUACGGGAGGCAGCAGUAGGGAAUCUUCCGCAAUGGACGAAAGUCUGACGGAGCAACGCCGCGUGAGUGAUGAAGGCUUUCGGGUCGUAAAACUCUGUUGUUAGGGAAGAACAAGUGCUAGUUGAAUAAGCUGGCACCUUGACGGUACCUAACCAGAAAGCCACGGCUAACUACGUGCCAGCAGCCGCGGUAAUACGUAGGUGGCAAGCGUUAUCCGGAAUUAUUGGGCGUAAAGCGCGCGCAGGUGGUUUCUUAAGUCUGAUGUGAAAGCCCACGGCUCAACCAUGGAGGGUCAUUGGAAACUGGGAGACUUGAGUGCAGAAGAGGAAAGUGGAAUUCCAUGUGUAGCGGUGAAAUGCGUAGAGAUCUGAAGGAAUACCGGUGGCGAAGGCGGCCCCCUGGACAGAUACUGACACUCAGAUGCGAAAGCGUGGGGAGCAAACAGGAUUAGAUACCCUGGUAGUCCACGCCGUAAACGAUGUCUACUUGGAGGUUGUGGCCUUGAGCCGUGGCUUUCGGAGCUAACGCGUUAAGUAGACCGCCUGGGGAGUACGGUCGCAAGAUUAAAACUCAAAUGAAUUGACGGA